This 399-nucleotide ribosomal RNA is filed under the name uncultured Gemmatimonadota bacterium. Its description in RNAcentral is "bacterial SSU rRNA". It matches the Rfam family "Bacterial small subunit ribosomal RNA", at positions 389 to 777 of the family's 1533-position model. The record is from RNAcentral. Lineage: Bacteria; Pseudomonadati; Gemmatimonadota.
CAGCGACGCCGCGUGAGGGAUGAAGGCCUUCGGGUUGUAAACCUCUGUCAGGAGGGAAGAAUCCGAGAGUCGGUGAAUAACCAGCUCCGCUCACGGUACCCCCAGAAGACGCACCGGCUAACUCCGUGCCAGCAGCCGCGGUAAGACGGAGGGUGCAAACGUUGUUCGGAAUCACCUGGGCGUAAAGGGCGCAUAGGCGGACUUGUAACUCAGGAGUGAAAUCUCGGGGCUCAACCCCAAGCCUGCUUCUGAAACUGCGAGUCUUGAGGACCGGAGAGGAAAGUGGAAUUCCUAGUGUAGCGGUGGAAUGCGUAAAUGUUAGGAAGAACACCAGUGGUGAAGGCGACUUUCUGGACGGUUCCUGACGCUGAGGCGCGAAAGCUAGGGGAGAAAACAGGA